GGACGAACGCUGGCGGCGUGCCUAAUACAUGCAAGUCGAACGAGCUCUCCUAAAUUGAUUUUAUGCUUGCAUAAAUGAUUUUUAGAUUCGGAGCGAGUGGCGAACUGGUGAGUAACACGUGGGUAACCUGCCCCGAAGCGGGGGAUAACAUUUGGAAACAAAUGCUAAUACCGCAUAAUUAGUUGGAACCGCAUGGUUCCAACUUGAAAGAUGGCUCUGCUAUCACUUUGGGAUGGACCCGCGCCGUAUUAGUUAGUUGGUGAGAUAAAAGCCCACCAAGACGAUGAUACGUAGCCGACCUGAGAGGGUAAUCGGCCACAUUGGGACUGAGACACGGCCCAGACUCCUACGGGAGGCAGCAGUAGGGAAUCUUCCACAAUGGACGAAAGUCUGAUGGAGCAACGCCGCGUGAGUGAUGAAGGUUUUCGGGAUCGUAAAACUCUGUUGUUAAAGAAGAACAAGUGUUAGAGUAACUGUUAACACUUUGACGGUAUUUAACCAGAAAGCCACGGCUAACUACGUGCCAGCAGCCGCGGUAAUACGUAGGUGGGCAAGCGUUGUCCGGAUUUAUUGGGGCGUAAAGCGAGCGCAGGCGGUUUUGUAAGUCUGCUGUGAAAGCCCUCAGCUCAACUGAGGAAGUGCAGUGGAAACUACAAAACUUGGAGUACAGAAGAGGAAAGUGGAACUCCAUGUGUAGCGGUGAAAUGCGUAGAUAUAUGGAAGAACACCAGUGGCGAAGGCGGCUUUCUGGUCUGUUACUGACGCUGAGGCUCGAAAGCAUGGGUAGCGAACAGGAUUAGAUACCCUGGUAGUCCAUGCCGUAAACGAUGAAUACUAGGUGUUGGAGGGUUUCCGCCCUUCAGUGCCGCAGCUAACGCAUUAAGUAUUCCGCCUGGGGAGUACGACCGCAAGGUUGAAACUCAAAGGAAUUGACGGGGGCCCGCACAAGUGGUGGAGCAUGUGGUUUAAUUCGAUGCUACGCGAAGAACCUUACCAGCUCUUGACAUCUUCUGCCAACCCAAGAGAUUGGGCGUUCCCUUCGGGGACAGAAUGACAGGUGGUGCAUGGUUGUCGUCAGCUCGUGUCGUGAGAUGUUGGGUUAAGUCCCGCAACGAGCGCAACCCUUAUUAUUAGUUGCCAGCAUUUAGUUGGGCACUCUAGUGAGACUGCCGGUGAUAAACCGGAGGAAGGUGGGGACGACGUCAAAUCAUCAUGCCCCUUAUGAGCUGGGCUACACACGUGCUACAAUGGAUGGUACAACGAGUCGCGAAACCGCGAGGUCAAGCUAAUCUCUUAAAGCCAUUCUCAGUUCGGAUUGCAGGCUGCAACUCGCCUGCAUGAAGUUGGAAUCACUAGUAAUCGUGGAUCAGCAUGCCACGGUGAAUACGUUCCC
This 1393-nucleotide ribosomal RNA is filed under the name uncultured Bacilli bacterium. RNAcentral's name for it is "bacterial SSU rRNA". It matches the Rfam family "Bacterial small subunit ribosomal RNA", at positions 27 to 1375 of the family's 1533-position model. The record is from RNAcentral. Lineage: Bacteria; Bacillati; Bacillota; Bacilli.